GAUGAACGCUGACAGAAUGCUUAACACAUGCAAGUCUACUUGAACUUCGGUUUGGGUGGCGGACGGGUGAGUAACGCGUAAAGAACUUGCCUCACAGAUAGGGACAACAUUUGGAAACGAAUGCUAAUACCUGAUAUUAUGAUUUUAGGGCAUCCUAGAAUUAUGAAAGCUAUAUGCACUGUGAGGGAGCUUUGCGUCCCAUUAGCUAGUUGGAGAGGUAACGGCUCACCAAGGCGAUGAUGGGUAGCCGGCCUGAGAGGGUGAUCGGCCACAAGGGGACUGAGACACGGCCCUUACUCCUACGGGAGGCAGCAGUGGGGAAUAUUGGACAAUGGACCAAGAGUCUGAUCCAGCAAUUCUGUGUGCACGAUGAAGUUUUUCGGAAUGUAAAGUGCUUUCAGUUGGGAAGAAAAAAAUGACGGUACCAACAGAAGAAGUGACGGCUAAAUACGUG
RNAcentral lists this ribosomal RNA (454 nucleotides) under uncultured bacterium. RNAcentral's name for it is "partial 16S ribosomal RNA". It matches the Rfam family "Bacterial small subunit ribosomal RNA", at positions 28 to 507 of the family's 1533-position model. The record is from RNAcentral.